RNAcentral lists this unclassified non-coding RNA (376 nucleotides) under Kochiomyces sp. RNAcentral's name for it is "partial internal transcribed spacer region". The stretch from base 1 to 46 matches the Rfam family "Eukaryotic small subunit ribosomal RNA", at positions 1786 to 1831 of the family's 1831-position model. Lineage: Eukaryota; Fungi; Chytridiomycota; Chytridiomycetes; Spizellomycetales; Spizellomycetaceae. The record is from RNAcentral.
AAGUCGUAACAAGGUAACCGUAGGUGAACCUGCGGUUGGAUCAUUAGAAAAUUUAGACGUUCAGCUAGUGCAGUUGAAAAACAGCCUAGCCGGCCUUCAUGGAUUGUGCUUUAACCUCGCAUUGUUUGUUAGCCCGAGUCUUCCUUUAUUGGAUGAGCUGGGGAGUAAUCACAUCGCUUUGCGGCUUAAGAAUGCCUUCCAUGAUGUCGCGUCAAACUCCUAUGUGCAACGUUUGGGUGUUGGUUGGAAAAGCAUGAGGUUUUUUUAAAUCUCAUGCCGGAAAACCAUCUCCCAUUCCACUAUUUUUAUAAUUUUGUCUAACUUUAUUUAAUAUAUAAUAUUAAAACAACUUUUGGCAACGGAUCUCUUGGCUCUC